RNAcentral lists this long non-coding RNA (36658 nucleotides) under Lathyrus oleraceus (garden pea). RNAcentral's name for it is "Pisum sativum (pea) long non-coding RNA (PSAT_LNC030490)". Lineage: Eukaryota; Viridiplantae; Streptophyta; Magnoliopsida; Fabales; Fabaceae. The record is from RNAcentral.
CAAUAUUUUCCUUUUCCUUUUUGGAAUAAAUAAAGUUUGGUGGCGAAUCUAUUAUCUUGAGUGUGCGAGCACUCGUGAUCAUUUUUCACGUUGCGACACAUGGUUUGUAUAGAGAUGAAGUAAGAAGGUGUCAAAUGGGCUUCCUGGAUAACUCUCUAAAGGGCCAUUGACAACGGGUUUCUCUUGAGCUUCAGGGCUUUAGGUGUUAUUGCCUAAUCUAUUAACUUUUGUCCCUGUGAAGUAGAGGCCAAUGACAGGUGACUAUGUGAACUAGAUGGUUGGGAACCUUGGUGUUGCGAACCGUCAAACGAGUUAUCCUCGACUCGUGGCGCCGCGGUCCUUGCUAUGGCCAUGUCGCAUCGUACCGAUGCGAUUUGGGAUACAUAAUCGAGCCUAAUCUAGACAAGGUUAUUUUCACCCAUUGCAUCUACGAUAAAACCAGACAACCACAUCAAAAAUUCAAAAAAAAAAUCAACUACGCACAAAUCUAGAGAUACAUCUUCGAAAAUAGCAUAGAGAAAAUCUGGAGAUGCAUCUCUAGAUAAAGCUGCAAUUUUGCAGAUAUGGCAGAAACACCAUUACAACCUUAAAAUCCAAAAAGCUUACAAUGCAUGUCCAUUUAGACUACCUAUUUCGACUGCACACUACCUAAUGUAACUUAACAACUUAUUUUUUCCUAAAAAUUCAUUCAAAACACAAAAAUGAAUGAUUUUUGAAAAACUUACCAAAUAUAAGUUGUGGAAGAAAAAGUUGAAUGUUAUGAGAAGCUUUGGCGUAAAUAAAGUACAACGCAGUGAGAAGAUUGAUUGGUUGAAAAGAUUUGAUUUUUGAGGAAGAGCACCAGUUGGAUUUUUUUUUUUUGAGUUUUAGUGAAUUUUGAGGCAAAUGAACGAGGAAGAGUGAAGGUAUUGGCGCGAGCUAAUGUAUUAAAUUUGUUCGGAGAUGCAUCUCUGUACCACCCACUAAAAUUUUGAAUUAAUGAUGUUUACGGUUAUGCAUCUUUGAAAUUACCUCAUACAUAUACAAAGAUGCAUUUUGUAUUUUUUUUCAAACCAAGGGAUUCUCAUCAAUUUAUGAUGACGAAGGUGGAAAAAGUGCAUCCGGAGAUGCAUCUCUGGAUGUUGGGGACAAUUGUAACUUUUCAUGAACCUAAGAUAUUCAAUGAUGAUAGUGAGAAGUUGCUCGCGCCUAUAACCAAACAGGAGUUGCAUGAGGUGUUGUUCCACAUGCACCCGAAUAAAUCGCCAGGUCCAGAUGGCUUUAAUCUAGCAGUUUAUCAACACUUUUGUGACAUGCGUGGUGAUGAUAUUUACAGUACGGUCAACAACUAGUUGGAGAGAGGCUUUUUUCCUUCCACUCUCAAUGAAACUAAUAUAUGUCUCAUUCCUAAGUGUGAGAUUCCUAAUAAUAUUAAAGAUUUGAGACUUAUCUCUUUGUCUAACAUGUUGUACAAUAUGGAAUCAAAGCUUCUUACUAACAGUGUGAAUGGUUAUUUGUUUAAAUGUAUAUCCUAAGAGAAGCCAACAUUUGUGGAAGGUAGAUCUAUUCUGGACAACACUUUGAUAGCCUUUGAGGUAAUACAUGCGCUAAAAUGCAAGACUAGAGGAUAUAUAGGGGAGAUAGCUCUCAAGAUUAAUAUAAGUAAAGAAUAUGAUCGAGCUAACUGGAGAUUUUUGAGAGGGGUUUUAAGUCGGAUGUGAUUCAUAUAUAGGUGGGUACAAUGGAUGAUGAUAUGUGUAACUUAUGUGCAUUACUAUGUGUUGGUUAAUUCAGAUAGAGUCUGACCAGUUCAUCCAGGAAGGGGAUUGGGGAAAGGAGAUCCUCUGUCUCCAUAUCUCUUUAUCCUAAUAGAAUAAGGGAUUUCAUCUCUCAUCAUAAAAAUAGUAAACAAAGGAGACAUGCAUGAAGUUAAGUUAUGUAGAGGGGCACCUAAGGUGUCCCAUCUAUUUUUUGCUAACAAUUCUUUUAUGUUUUGCAGGGCUAAUAUAUCUGAAGUGAGGCAUCUUAUGGAGAUUCUUAGUGUGUACACAAAAGUGUUGGGUCGAGAAAUUAACAUGACCACGUCAGAGGUAUUUUUUAGUCACAAUAUUAGUAGACUCACUCAAGAUGAUCUCUCUCGCCUAAUGGGAGUUCGCCAUGUGUUAGGCACGCGAACAUAUUUGGGUUCACCUUCAAUGAUUGGAAUAAGUAAAAAGGCAACUUUUACAUUUAUCAAGGAUCAUAUUUGGAAGAGAAUUAAUUCGUGGUGAGGUCUCCCAUUGUCCAAGGCAGGAAAAGAGGUAAUGAUCAAAUCAACCAACAGAGUGUGUCACUUCCCAAAACUGAAAUUUUCUCACCACAAUAUUGCUGAGAUCUUUCACCAACACCUUCAUUCUCCCUUUGAUAGUCCCUACUUUUCCUAAUUAGUUUUCCGCCGUACUUUCACAUUUACAUAAUGCUUCAUCUGUCAGCUUAUAUCACACUCUCACCAAGUCUCUCCGGGUUAAAAUGUUCACACUCACAUUUCAGAAUAUACAAUAUCGACUCAUAAAUUUGAAUAGUUUCUCCUUUCGUUUCAACUACACACAACACACACUUUUUGAGGUCUUUUGGGUUGUAACGGGGCUUGGGUUACGGUGGGGUAAAUACAAACAAAAGGAAAAACAAGUGGUUUGGGUUCAGAGCAAAUGUCAUUAUUCCUUUCACUGUGUUUGUUCUACGUCUCAUUUCUAAUUCUUUUUCAGUUUUUUAUAGCUCAGUUCUCUUUUUUCUUUGAUUUUCUCUCUUUUUAUUUUUAACUGAGUGUUUCUCAUCCGGUGAGUUCUUUCUUUUGUUUUCUUUUUUGUUUCGAUGGUCGUUUUUCUUAAUUUUUUUCCGCACUCACCUUACUUUCAAAUACUUACGGGGUUACCCUAAACUUAGAAUUUGACAUAACUUAAAGACAUAACAUUGACUCUGAAUAGGGUAAGGAAGUGUUUGGGUCGCGGGUUACAUUCAUGUGCUUAUAUAAACAAACAAAGGGUACAGGCUUAAACGGUGUUAACAAGGGAUAAUAUUAAAUGGAUUUCAAGAAAGGCUUAAGGCUAUUAUUCAAACAACGUGCCUCAAUGUGUGUAUAUAUGCAGUGAUAUUCCAAGAGAACUUACCCAAACUCAUAAUGAUAAAUACAUACCUGAAUAUCGCUCAUGAUGAAAAAUGUAUUUGGAUUUUUAUGCACUCUCCAUGUUAGGUAAAGCUUGAUAGAAUCCACAAUACUUCUAGUAUGGUGCGGCUUCUUACUCAGCUCGGAAUGCACAAGGAACCUACGUUAUUGAGCUUGAGACAGUUGCGUCCAAUCUUUUUCUUCGGCAGUAUCAAAUUUUUGGGAAGAUCAUUCACAACAAGUAAUAGUAAGUGGAAUGAUCAUUUCCUCCACUACCACUAAUGGUCAUACCUAAUCCAACAAUAACACCAAGAACCUGAAAUACAUGCAACAAAUGAUACCCAAUAGUAAAAACAAACCAAAUGUAAAACAGUAAACAGAAUGGGAAAUAAUAAAGUAAAAAACAAAAAGCAUAAUUAAACCUCCCCCACACUUGAACUAAACAUUGGCCUCAAUGUUUUAGAACAAGAUAGAAGGAUGGUGACUUAUAGUUCCCUACUGAGGAGGCUGGGGCGGAAAGUGCCAUAUCAUAAUAAAGCUACAAUUAUCCUUGGGUUGCCUCCCAAGCAGUGCUCCUUUAUUGUUAUUAGCUUGACGCUUCAUUCCCCUUGUUAUGGGGGGUACUUCAGCUUCCACACCAUGUUGCACUUCUUUUUCAAAACUAAGAAGCCAUAUUUUUCAGAGGUAUGGAUUCAUUUGUGCCACAUGUCUUUUCAAACCUCCAUAUCCUUACAUUGUUUUCACUUUCUUUUCUUUCUUAUGGCUUUUGGAAUGGAAAUAGGAAUUGGAGUUGCUAAUAGAGGUGGUGACUCUUGAGAAGGCCUUCUUGUAUCUUUCUCUGAUGUUGGUACGUUACUUUGCCUUCUCACCUCUAUCAUGAUCAAGCCUACUUGAUAGUGAUGUUCUUUUUCUACCUCUAGCUCCCCGUUUCUAACAGUAUUCAAUGUUAUUUCCUCAUCAUAAACUUUUAAAGUUAACGUUCCUUGGUCCAUGUCGAGAUUACAUCGCCUUGUCUACAUGAAAGGUCGACCAAGAAUGAUCGGUGUCUCUUCAUCUUCAGGUAUGUCUAGGAUCACAAAAUCAACAGGAAAACUCAAGUUCUCUAUUGUCACCGGUACGUCUUCUGCUAUACCAUAUGCAUCCUCUCUCGAGUGAUCCAUAAACUUCAGAUUUGUCUUUGUAUCACUGACAUUUUUAAUACCCAACUUGUGAUAGAUUGAUAAUGGCAUCAAACUCACACUAGCUCUAGAAUCAGUUAGUACCUUUUUGAAAGUUCUCUCUUUUAUUGUGCAUGAUAGUAUUACCGUUCCAGGAUCCUUCUGUUUGUUUGGAAUUUUCUAACCCAGUGAAUUUGCACUACACUUUUCCUUCAAGGCUACCGGUUCUUCUGCUGUUGGUUUCUUUUCGGCCUUACCUCUUCCAUGAAUUUUUUGUACAUGGGCAUUCGCUCGAGUGCUUCAAACAAAGACAUGUGACUCUCUAUCUUUUUGAACAUUGUCAUGAAUUUCUCAAAGUAUAUCUCUCUUGGAUCCUUCUUUGUCACUCUCUGAGGGUAGGGUAACUUAAUCACCGAUUUAGUAUCCUUUUUAUUUUUCUCUUCAGUUGGCUUUCCAGGUGGUAUAACUUUUUCAUCUUUAGAGGCCCUCUCCCUUUUCGUCGUGACAAUAUUAACAUUCUCAUCAUUUCUUGGAUUUUGAACUGUUCAACUUGGUAAGGAACCUGGUGUUCGAGAACUUGCUAUUUAUUGUGCCAUCUGACCCCGUUGAACUUCAAGAUUUAUUAUAGAGGCGAUGGUGUUUUUAUGAUUGUUUCUAGUCUCUUAUUGGAAUUGCAUAUUUUGAGCGGCCAUGUUUUCAAUGGCAAUAUCCCAGUUUGUUUUCUUUGGAGCUUGUUGUUGCUGUUGUUAUUGAUAUUGAGUCUGAUAUUGACCUUGACCCUAUUGUAGAAAAUUCCCUCUCUGAUCUUUCCAAGAGAAGUUUGAAUGAUUCUUCCAACCUGGAUUGUAAGUGUUGGAGUAGGGGUUAUUCUGCUUCAAAAAUUUUAUCUCUUCAAUUUGUUGAGGGGUGGCAAAGAAAUACACAGUAUGGUGUGGUCCAUUACAGAUUUCACAAGUGAUGGUCUGAGCACGUUAAACUUGAGCUACCUAUUGGGUACCUAUGUUCAUAACUUUAAAUUUCUUUUCCACUUCAGCGACUACUGUAUCUUCCAACCGGAUUUUUUUAGUUUCCAACUUCAGAUCAAUCACUUCAUCAGAUAUACUAGUACACCUAUCAUAUAAUUCCAAAUGCUCAUUGGCAACUAUCACUUCAAUAAUAUUUUUAAUACCGGUGAGUGUUGAGAAAUUUGUUGAGCCACCAACUGCUGUAUCAAUCAAUUGUUUUGUCUUUAUUUUCAUCCCAUUAACAAACAUUUGCAUCUGUUCAGUCUGAUCCACAUUAUGAGUUGGGAAAGCUACUAAGACCCUUUUGAAUCUUUUGUAGGAAUCUCCCAAAGACUCACCAUCCUUCUGUUUGAAGUUCAAGAUUUCAUACCUUUUUCUCAAAAAUAUCGAUGAUGGGAAAUACUCAUUUAAGAAAGUAGUUUCCAUCUCUUCCCAUGAUGUGAUGUUGUCGGCAUGGAGAGAGUAGAACCACUCUUCCGCCUCUUCAACUAAAGUGAACGAGAACAUUAUUAACUCCUUUGCUUUAUCAAUAUGACCAUCAAUUUUCAAAGUAGUACUCAUGGUCAGGAAUCUCUGCAAGUGCUUGUUUGCAUCUUCAUUAACCUUUUCGGUGAAAUGUUUUCUUUCAAGUUGAUUGGUUAUGCUGGGAUGCAGCUGGAAAUUAGUCACAUUCACCGGUUGGUUGACAAUUGUCAACUACCAUCUGAUGCAUUUGCGCCUCCAUGAUCACCAAGGAGUCUCUUUGGAGGUGGAGGUGGAACUGGAGGAACUUCAACCAUAGUUUCUUUUUCUGAAUCUGAAUCUGAGUGAUCAGAGGGAACUUCUUCUUUGGAAUUCACUCUAGCGUGUCUGAGUCUCCGGUGAAGGGUUCUCUCGAUUUAUGCGUCAAAAAAAAUUCAACUGAGGGCUCUCAUCGCAUACACAGAUUAGUGAAUGAAAUUAUAUAAAUGACAAAAAAAUAAUUUUAUUGCAGAGCAAUAAAAUUUUAAUUGAACUAAAAUUAAACUCUAUAUUUUGGUAGUCCCUGACAACUGUGCCAAAAACUUGAUCCGAAAAAUAGCAAGUGUACUAUUUUGCUUUUUGUAGUAAUAAAGGGGAAAUUCCCCGAAUAUCGAUCUCAAGGACUGCAAGUUAAUAUCGAGUUCAAAUCAUCUUUCAAUUAAACAAAAAAUAGUGUUAGGGGUUUUAGAUUUAUAUUUAUAAAAAUAAAGGCAAAUGAAAUUAAUACUGUAAAAUAAGGGUUUGCAAAGGAAGAGGAACAAUGCCAGGGAAUGUGUAUAAUUUGUCCUUGUAACAACUCUGAGUCACUAUUGCAUCAACAAAUAUCAAUUACUACCAGUUCUUAAGGGUACUUUCUCCCAAGUACUUGGUGAGAAAACCUUUAAUCAUUCAACCCUAAUUUCUAUGUCCAUAGGAAAUUAUCGAUGAAAUUAAGCCUUAUUAUAUCAAGAAUGCUCAGGUUCAUACAUGGUAUCCCUGGUCCUAGAUGAUAUCUAUUGCAGAUUAGUCUUAUGAAAACCUUACUAAUGGCGGUCCAACUUAAUUGAUAACCAUACAACAAUCUCAAUUGGUUCGAAAGAGAAAGCAUUAAACACAUCAAAAGAUUACUGUAAAAACAAUAUUAUCAAUGCAAUCGUAAACUCAAAGUCAUUACGGAUCUAAAUCAGGGACACUCCUUAGCAUUGAGGGGUUUAGCUACUCAUAUUGUUCAAAACUGAUUCAAGAUAAAAAAUAAACAUUAAAAGUAAUUUGGAUGACUUGGAUCUUCAAUUGCUUCCGCUCAUAAAAUUCUUCUGCUCUCUGAAUUCCUUGAUCUCUCUAAUUCUCGAUCGUCUGACAAUUUUCUGUGCUCUGUUUUCUCCUCGUUCCAAAAUGUAUUCUCCUCUCUUAGAAACUCUCUUAAAUAGUGAAAAUCCCUUGACAAUGGUUGGAAAUUCCCAAAACGUCCUUGUUGCUAAAGCCCAGGUAAAAAGCCCAAAAAAUGAAAAAUUAGCGCCUGGGCUGACACGACCAUGUCAGCUGACACAGGCGGUCGUGUCAGCUGACAUGGGCGAUCGUGUCAGGCCCCUGCCUUGCUAGUCUAUUCUCUUUUCACUUUCAAAUGGGCUGACACGGCAUGUGUCAGCUAAAACAGGUGGCCAAGUCAGGCCUCUGCCUUGCCGGUCUAUUCUCUUUUCACUCCUAAGUGGGCUGACACGACCUGUGUCAACUGACACGACCUGUGUCAACUGACACGGGUGGCCGAAUCAGGCCCCUGUCUUGGCCAUCUCUUACAGUUUGUUUUGCCUUCAUCCUGACACGGCCCGUGUCAGGUGACACAGGUGGCCAUGUCAGACCCCCUGUAUUGAGGAAUCUCCUUUCAUCGAAUGUCGGAACCCUCGAAUUUCUUGCAUUGAGUCCGUUGGAUCUUCUACUUGGACAUGGAGGGAAUAAAAACAAACAACCAAAGCAUAAAAUCCUGAAAAUACAAAAUAAAACUAAAAACUGAUAAAAUGCUUAAUUUACUUACAGAAAUGAAAACUAACUUAAAAAGGUACAAUAAUACGCACAAAGUAUUCUAGAAUCCUUGGUUUCUUGUCGAAUAAGUAAUGAAAACAUAGUGAAAAUGGUGGCCGAUCAAUUGGAAUAAGUAAAAAGGCAACUUUUGCAUUCAUCAAGGAUCAUAUUUGGAAGAGAAUUAAUUCGUGGUGAGGUCUCCAUUGUCUAAGGCAGGAAAAAAGGUAAUGAUCAAAUCAGUUCUUCAAGCAAUUCUUGCUUAUGUUAUGAGUGUCUUUAUCAUACCUGAUACUAUAGCGGGCGAUAUAGAGAAAAUGUUGAGUUUAUUUUGGUGGGGAGAAGGUAACAAUAAUAAGGGGAUUAGAUAGUUUACUUGGGAAAGUUUGACUUGGCGUAAGAACGAAGGCCCCCCGAGCUUUCUGUAGGAUCAAGCGCUUACCACUGCGCUAAAAGCAAUUGCUGUUAGUGAUGGUGCAACUUUAUUUCCUUACAGUAUGAGCCCUCAGGGGCUGCACCUAAAUUGAGGUUUGUAAGCUCCCUCUAAGCCCCAUGGGUUGGGAUGUUAAGCCCAUUCGAAUCCCUAAGGAUGACGCUGGAUUUUUUAUUUAUCCAACAAUCUCCCCCCAAUGUCAGCCGGGGUGAUUCGAACCCAUGACCAUGCUCUGAUACCACUUGUAGGAUCAAGCGCUUACCACUGCACUAAAAGCAAUUGCUGUUAGUGAGGGUGCAACUUUAUUUCCUUAUAGUAUGAGCCCUCAGGGGCUGCACCUAAAGCGAGGUUUGUAAGCUCCCUCUAAGCAGCAACUUUAUUUCCUUAUAGUAUGAGCCCUCAGGGGCUGCACCUAAAGCGAGGUUUGUAAGCUCCCUCUAAGCGCCAUGGGUUGGGAUGUUAAGCCCAUUCGAAUCCCUAAGGGUGACGCUGGAUUUUUUAUUUAUCCAACACUUUCGACAUUUUAAGGCAUUUAACUUGGCUAUGGUGGCGAAACAAGGGUGACAUAUAGUGACAAAACCGUAGACUUUGGUAGCUAGAGUUUGUAAAUCGAAAUAUUUCCAAAAGUCCUCUUUUUUGAAGUUAAUCUUCGAAAUAAUCCCAGUUAUGUCUGGAGAAGCUUAUGGAAAGCUAAGGAUGUUAUGUUAUUGGGAAGUAGAUGGAGGAUUGAGGAUGGGAACAAGAUCCAUGUAAUGGUCGAUCCAUGGUUGAAGAUGGGAAGAAAAUGUUGGAUUAGAGCACCACAAGGCCAAGAUGUGUAUAAUUUGAAGGUUAACAACCCUUUGCUUACUAAUGGUAAAUAAUGGACUGCCCCAUAAAAUUGAGCAGUUGUUUUCUCACAAUAUAGUUAAGGAAAAUAUGAAGGUUCCACUCUUGGAGGAUGUUAACGAGGAUUGCUUGGUUUGGAAAGAAGAGCAAAAUGAUGUCUAUAGUGUUAAAACAUGAUAUAAAUAAUGGAUGUAUGUUCAAAGCAAUCAUAGAAGGUGUAAUGUGGAAGGAGAUUACGAUAGUUUGUGGAAGAUAAGGUCUAUACUAAAAAUUAAGCACUUACUUUGACGGAUUUAUCAUUGUUGUCUUCCUAUCCGAGGCCGACUUCGACAACACUAUGUUCUGUGUCCUACCAUGUGUCAAUUAUGUGAAGAAGGUGUAAAAGAUGAGUGAAAUGUGUUCUUUGGGUGUACAUUAACGUUCCAAUGUUGGAACGUGGCGAGUUUGGGUGAUAUUAUCACACCACGACUACAAAGGAUCAAUGAUGGGAGGACUAUGACUCAAGACAUAUGUAGUAAAAAGGAUAAAAUGGUUACAGGUAGAGUGGUUGUCAUGUCCUGGGUUCUUCGAAAUAAUAGGAAUAAUUGGAUUUGGAAUAAUGAGAAGGAUUGCACGAGGCAGUUGGGUAUGCAAACAUAUCAUAUUUAUAGCUCAAAAUAACCAACUUAAUGGUGACAAUAACCACAAAAACCAGCAUCAUCCUUUGUGGCAGCCACCUAGUGUUGGGUGGGUGAAAUGUAAUGUGGAUGAUGGAUUUAAUAAACAAUGGGGAACAAAUAACAAAUGAUGGUGUUAUAGACAUUGUAAUGGAAGAUUCAUCAUGGCGGGAACAACUUGGGAUGUUGGUCUUUACACAGUCAUCGAAGUAGAUGCAUUGACAUUAAAAGAAGUUGUGCAAAGAGCCAUUCAAAUGCAAAUGGAUCAUAUUAUUUUCGAGCGUGAUUCUGAAAUGGUGAUGCAUGCUAUCCAUGCUAAUUAUGGUGGCAAUUCUAAAUUUAGUGUGAUCAUAUAUAAUAUUAUCAUUUUGAUAGAUUUACAUUCCAACUCUAAGGCGAAGUUUGUUAAGCGUCAAACGGAUUCGAUUGCCAAUUUGUUAACUAAAGCGCCCAAUUCUUGAACUAGGCGUAAGUUUAUUCAUUCGAUUCCUCCUUAUAUUGAGAAACAAUUGUUUAGUUAAAUGAAUUAAGUUUCUUUGUGUAAUUUUUUUUAUAAAAGAACAUCCAUAUUUUUAUAUUUAAAUUCUUCAACUUAACUUUGUGAUCCGAUGUGUUUGAAAUAUUAAAUUAAUGUUUAAUGAUUUAAGUAUAUAUUACUAGGAGCAAAACACUAUGUCAACAACACACAAAAUUGUUUUUUUUUAUAGAAAUUUGGUAUCCUCUAUACGCAAUCGUAGAGAUUAAUCCCUUGAGUUGAAUAAAAUCACAAUGGAUGAUAAAACUUCCAAGAAAAUUUAACCUUGAUGCAUGUAUAACACAUCAAAUUGUAUGAAAAUUAUAUUUUAAAUGAUAGUUAUAAAUAUACAAAAAUAUAAGAAAAUGGGAAAAUGUUUAAAUAGAAUUGCUAGAGUAACUUAAUUCAGAAUGGGCAUUUUUUUUCUGAAGAAACAAAUGGCCCUUUUAUAAAAAAAAAGACCGUAAGCCCAAACAAGAAAAAAAACUAAAACCCUAUAAAACAAUAAAUAAUUUGAUAUAAGUAGGGCUAACGUGUACAACAAAUUGUUCUAGGGGGUUUAUUCAUUCAUCGUUUCACCUUGUAGCCGCCGCAACACUUCAACCAGCAGCCACCAAAUCCAAUGGUAUGCACUCUUCACCUUCUCUUCUUCUCUCUCUCCCGUUCUUCUCCGAUUUGGAUUUCAUUUUCAUUUUCCCCUAAUUUUACGAUGUAUUUUUGUGAACUAAACCCAGGCUUCCGAGGCGAAAUUGGCUAACCCUAUGAGGGAUAUCAAGGUUCAGAAGCUUGUCCUCAACAUCUCCGUUGGUGAGAGUGGAGAUCGUCUCACCAGAGCUGCCAAGGUUCAUUGAUUUCCUCCUUCGAUUCUUUUUUCGUUUUCGAUUUAAAUUUAUUUAUUAAUAAUUUUUAUGUGUUGUAGGUGCUAGAGCAACUCAGUGGACAAACCCCAGUGUUCUCCAAAGGUUAAUCAUUGAUUUCCUCCUUCGAUUCUUUUUUCGUUUUCGAUUUAAAUUUAUUUAUUAAUAAUUUUUAUGUGUUGUAGGUGCUAGAGCAACUCAGUGGACAAACCCCAGUGUUCUCCAAAGGUUAGUUACAGCAAUUUUAGUAUUAUGUUUGUAAUGGGUAUGGAUCUAAAGGCUAUUUUAAUUUAAGUUUUGUUUAUAAAUUAAUUUUAUCACCAUGGAUUAUAUUCUGUGAUUUUUUAUUUGAAAACUUAAUUUUAAUGUUGAGGCUGUUUUAGGGUUAAUAAUUUGAUGCCCAAUUGUUUUAUUUUUUUAUAACAAUGUGAAAGCUUUGAUAGUAGGGUAGUGUUGUUAGAAUGAGUUUGGUUGUGAUUUGCAAUGAUAAAAAGUUUGAACUUGUCACUUAUGUGGAGGUUGGGUUUGUUAUGUUUAUGGGUCUUGGGGGGUCAGAUUGGUUUUUAGCCUAUGUGAACGCGACUGAGUGGUUUUUGUGUAAGUUUGUAUGAAAAGUGGGAUUGAAAACAAUUUCUGUUAAGUUACAAAUCAUUUAUUUCUUUUGCUAUAAUUGUAAUACCAGUCCAAACUUAAUAGAGUGGCUAUGUUUAAAUUACAAAGCAUAUCUUUUGCUAAAAUUGUGAGCUCAUUGUUAUUUUGACAAGGGCUUUUACUUCUGAUAGAACUCUAUUAUUAUGGCUUCUAUUCAAUUAAGCCUCCUUUUCUUUUUUAAAAUACAUUUAUUUGGAUAUCUGGUGUUGUCUCAUUUUUAUUUUCUCUUUGGAUUUUGUCAGCAAGAUACACUGUCCGAUCUUUUGGUAUUAGAAGAAAUGAGAAGAUUGCAUGCUACGUAACUGUUAGAGGUGACAAGGCAAUGCAACUUUUGGAGAGUGGACUGAAGGUGAAAGAGUAUGAACUUUUGAGGAGGAACUUCAGUGACACUGGAUGCUUUGGUUUUGGUAUUCAGGAGCAUAUUGAUCUUGGAAUCAAGUAAGCUUCUAAACAAUCCUAGAGUUUCAUGAUACUCCAUAGAGUUUGACAUUUCAUUAUUUGACAUUGGCUAGUUUGAUUUCUAUUUGAACUAUUUACUCAUUAUCUCUAUACUUCAGAUAUGAUCCAUCUACUGGUAUCUAUGGUAUGGACUUUUUUGUUGUCUUGGAGCGUCCUGGUUAUCGUGUUGGUCGUCGCCGUAGGUGCAAAGCCCGUGUCGGAAUCCAACACCGUGUUACCAAGGAUGAUGCCAUGAAAUGGUUCCAAGUGAAGUAUGAGGGAGUGAUCCUUAACAAAUCUCAGCAGAUCUGAGUUAUUAUGUGUUAGGUUAUUGUUUUUUGGCAUCUAUAGUUUGUUGUCUUUUUGGAUACUGGCUUAAAUUAUGUUGAAAUUUUUGAUGGAUUGUUAUCAUAUUUUGAAUUUUCUGCUAUUUCAUGAUGAAGCAAUUGAGUAAACUUUUAACCCUGUUUAAAUACUUCCAAGUUUCCGAAUGCAGUUACAGUAGGUUGCAAUUUGCUUUAUUCUCUUUGCUUUUCGAAUGUGCGUUUCUGAAAAAUUGCCAUAAUUUUUCACGUUUAGGAAUAGUUUUAGUUUUGUAGCUUCUCCCAAAUCACAUAAAAUCAGUCUUUUCACGUGAGUUUAGGGUGAAAUUGCUUGUAAUAUUGAACUGAGAGAUUAUAUGUUAUGUUGGUUGGAGUGAUUUAAAGAUCCCAAUGUUCACAAGUUGUUUUUUCUGGGUUUUUCGAAUUCAUGCUAAAUCAUUGUUGGGUAUAUUUGCUCCCCACCAUUUUAACUUUUCCUCUCGUAAUUAGUAUUUUACGUGUUUUUUAUCCUUUCCAUUUGAUUACAUGCCAUUUUAUCUUGUCAUGUUAUAUAAUUUAAUAUAACACAGAUUGGGAGAGAAAUGGACGUUGAACAAAAUAAAGUUCAGUUGCAUUGUAAUAGAGAGUUUCAUGCUUUAUAGUUGUAGAGGUUGAAACAAAUGAAUGAACUUUGAUAACAAAGAUCAAGGUUUCUGGAAUCCUGAAUGUUUAGAUGAAUAUGUGGUAUCAAGGUUUCUUGAAUCCUGAAUGUUUAGAUGAAUAUGUGGUAUCAAGGUUUCUUCUUAGGACUUACAAAUCUACUUAUACACCUAUCAAGGUUUCUUGAAUCCUGAAUGUUUAGAUGAAUAUGUGGUAUCAAGGUUUCUUGAAUCCUGAAUGUUUAGAUGAAUAUGUGGUAUCAAGGUUUUUCGAAUUUUGAAUGUUUAGAUGAAUAUGUGGGAUCAAGGUUUCUCGAAUCUUAAAUCUUUAAUUCUAACAAAUAUGUAUAGGUUAAAAAGGUUAAAGAAAUCGAGAAAAUAACAUGGCUUUAUAGAUUUUGUAUAUAUUUGAUGUUGUUAAAAUAUAAGCUUACAUGUAUAUGUAUCCAUAAUUGAUGAGAUUGAAUGUACAAGAUCAAGUACAAGAUACAAGCAUAUCGAUGAGAUUGAAUGUACAUAAUUGGAGAAAUUAACUAAGCGGUUGGAUAAGAAGAAUCCAUGGCAAUGCCACACAAGCCUUCCUUAGCAGCUAUACCUCUUAGCAUUCUUAUGUAUCCUUUCUCACCCCAUACUGUUCCCCACGAAUUCUUAACCAACCAAUAAUCACUUCCAUUAGAACUUCCAUAACCAACAGCAGUAACGCCAUGAUCUAACUCAGUUCCGCAUUCUCCUGUAUAAAUUCCAUGCGAAUAAAACAUGAAACUUGAAUCACUAGCAUCAAUAGAAACUGAUAUUGGGUUGGUUACCACAGCUUUUGAGAAGUGCAUCCUUACUGUAACCGGAAACUUCUCGCUAUCUUUCAACUCUUAGCAACAGGAACCGUGUUGCAGUGUUACAACUUCAUCAGAGUUGCUUUAUAAGGAUAGUAGUCUCACUUGUGAUUCCACCAUUUUUAAUGAUAAAUUCAAAUCCAUCUUCCAUUAGUCCUCCUGCCACAACCUUGGUCUUCACUCUUUGUGUCACAUCUACCUAGCUCUGCCUCUGAGAAAGAGAUACUAGUUUUGCCUGUUGUUAUUGGUUGAUACCUUCAGUUGCAAGCACAGUUGGAAAAUGCCAGCAACUCGCCUUGAUUCAUUUUCAAAACAAAUAUUAAUUAUUGAAACAAAAUAAUAUCAAUAAUAAAAGCAUUCGUAAAAUACUGUUUACUGAUUAUGUUAUUUACCACAUUGUCCUUGAUUGCCUUGAUUGGAGGACGCUCCUUUUACCCUCCAAUCUACAGAUGCUGGAAUAGAAGUCACAUCUUCAUACUAAAUGAUGUUGAAGUUAACUCAGUAGUAGAAGACUCUUUUGUAACCAUUACGGGAAGCUUAUAAAUUCGUCAAGAGUCAAAUCAGCAAGGUGAUUAACACUUAGUUUGUAAGGUUUGUUGUUGGCAUCAUUGAAUGAUUCAAUGAAUUCAACAUUGUCCUUGAAUAUCAUGAAACGUUUGUCUUUCUCAGCAUCAUCAUUAUACACUUUGCUAUAUUCUGUCAUCCAUUGCUCGUGUCUUUCUUCUAAGGAUGGUGAUGAUGUUGAUUGUUGCAGCUUUCGGGACAUUACAUUGGUGAUAUUGAGAGCAAGGAUGAGGAACAGAACACACAUGUAUUGUUUUUGGUUGUUAGAAACCAUUUUGUUGUUAUCAAAGAAAGCCUUGUUGAGUUGAGGUGUGUAUGUUUAUGUGUUGGAGAAAGAAAUGUAAAUUGAUAUGAGUUGAAAUAAAAUGGAAGUGGUGGUUUAUAUAGAUAUAAAAAAAACUUUAAAUUAAUCUGAAUUUGCUGCCACGGCAUAUUUCAUUGUUUCUUUUAUUUAUUUAGUUAUUUUAUAUUAUUAUUUAAAGAACAUGGUAGCUUUUGUUCUGUCUAAGGGGAUUUUCAAUUUGGUUAAAACUCAUUAAACUACAUGUGAAAACAGAAUAGCGAACAACCUACCNUUUGCUGCCACGGCAUAUUUCAUUGUUUCUUUUAUUUAUUUAGUUAUUUUAUAUUAUUAUUUAAAGAACAUGGUAGCUUUUGUUCUGUCUAAGGGGAUUUUCAAUUUGGUUAAAACUCAUUAAACUAUUUAAUUAAGGUAAGAAAACAGAAUAGCGAACAACUUACACAAAAUCAAUAUAGUAUUAGUAAUAUACACGGGCAAGUAAUAUUUGGAGUUGAAGUUAUGGGAAAUUCAUUAUUUGAAUUUUAUCCAUAUAUUUGACUUGUCGAAUCUAACGUUGCAUGGUGAUUGAAUUCCCUUGCACGGAAUUUCCUUGCAUGACAUGACUGAAAUAUAGGCAGAUGACAUUUCUGUAUUCUCUAUCUAAUUUGAACAUGACCUCAAUUUAGUUUUUGAAAACAGUUUCUCUAUUUAAAAAUUCAAAAAUUUAAAACUUGUUUGAUUAGAAUGUUUAUAAAAUUGUUUUCAAAAACAACUUUCAAUUUAAUUGUUUCUAAUUGUUUUUAAGACCAAUAUAAAAAAAAGUAACUAAUAAAGGUGAAGUCAUUAAAAUGAUUUUUUUUUGUGUGGUUAUAAUCACACUCCGCCAAUUAGCAAAGCCUCUAAAGAUUAUAGUGCCACAUAGGAUUAUGUGGUGCAUGCCACUUAAUGUAUAUUCUCAUAUCUAUUAAUAUCAUGGAUAAAAAGUUAUCAAGUUUUUAUACAUGUGUAAAUAUUAUGAGUAAUACUUAAGUUGAUCCGCUUUGAGAAUACUUCGUGGAACAUUAUGUAAAGUGUUAUAAGUUAUUCUCACGGUGAUAGUAGUGUAUAUCACAUUUUGACAUGAAACCACAUUAUACCUUAGAUAUGAAGUCAAAUACUUUAUUGCCAAUCAAGCGUUGUCCAUAAUAGAAUGAACAUGAAGAUGGUUGAUGGGUACUCCAUAAAUCAUUUUGAGGGAAAUGAGUGACAUAAAUGAAAUUUUCGAAUCAUACGUAACAUGAUAUAUGCACUACUACAAAUAAUACAUUUUAUGACGACGAUUUCACCUCACGUAUUGAAAAACCGAUGUAUAAUUCUUAGACGCACCCUGUUUUUUGUUUAUAAAAAAAUAUACAACAUAUUCCGUCGAUUAUUUUGAAAAUCGAGGGAUAAACCUAUUCAAUGUACAUGUUUCAAAUCCCAUCAGUCUCAAUUAUUGUUUUUAUCUCAUUAAAAGUGGCAUCUUCUUGAAUAUUUUAUUUUUAAUCUAAAAGAACGUUACUUUUCGCAUCGAUUUUCUUUCCAACCGAGGUGAGUAUGCUUCUAUGAUAUAUAUAACUUUACCUUGUAGAAUCCAGUUUCACUUAUCUAAACAACACAAAUAGAACCCUAAAUAACGAGAACCAUAAAUACAUACCAUCUUCAAUAGGAAUAUGUUAUGUGUUUAGUGCUCUCCUUUCUUCUUCAGAGAUCCAAAUCAUUUUAUUUUACUUCUUCUUCAGAGAUAUGACAUGUCAAACAUCACUACUCAUACUGUUGUUAUUGUUGUUGUUGUUGUUGUUGAGAUCCGAAAUCCUAGAGAUUUUAUCUUGUUUUCAUUGAUGUUCUUUAUACAAAUUUAUAUUAUAGGUUUAUUGAUAUUAUUGUUGUUGUUGUUGUUGAGAUCCGUUAUUGAGACCCUAAACCCUAGAGGUUUAAUAUUGUUGUUGUUGUUGUUUAAGCAAGUUUAUGUUAUAAGUUUAUUGACGUUGUUAUUGUUGUUGUUGUUGUUGAUGUUGUUGUUGUUGUUGUUGUUGUUGUUGAGACUCGUUGAGAUCCUAAAUCUUAGAGGUUUAAUCUUGUUGUUGUUGUAUAAACUGAUUUAUGCUAUAGGUUUAUUGAUGAUGCUAUUGUAGUUUUGAUAAAAUAUUAUUUUUUUGAGUUUUUGUUUAAUGUAAGCUGUUGUUUUUGAGUUGUUGAUGUUAUUAUUGUCGUUGUUUAGUUGUUCUACUACCAAAAGUUAUGAAAAUCUAUAUGUUGUAGUUUAGUUGUUGUUAUUGAGUUUGAGUUUUAGAUUGAUAUUGAUAUUGAGUUUAUAUUUUUUUGUGACUCUUUGUGCAACUCUCAUCUUGUUCCGCCGAGUUAAGUUUAUUAUAUCUAAUGUCGAUUGUUUGUUUUACUAAUCCCUCUUUGAACAUAUAACCUAGUAAAUUAAUUUUGGAAAUAAUCAUAUGCAAAAUUAUGUUGUAUCUGAAACUUAUCUUACACUGAUUAAUGAUUUUCUAUAAUUUUGCAAGUCAUCAUUCAUCUCAUGCUGUUUUAUCGUUAAAAUCUCUCAAAUACUUCUAGUUUCACUCAACUUUCUUCCAUAUUUAUUCAUUUUUUAAAGCAUCAAAUUUUAUGUUUUCAAGAAUGAAUUAGUAGAAAAGGAAUGGUUGAGUAAAAAACUUGAAACAUUGGAGAGAUUUAACCAUAAAAUAACGUGAGAUGAAUGAUGAGUUGUAUGAUGCUUCAAAAUCACUAAUCAAUGUAAUUUUUUCUUCUAAUAUAACAUAAUUGUUCAUAUAAUUAUUUCCUACCCAAUUUUGAGAAGUUAUAUGUUCAAUAUAGGGUUUAGUGAAAUAAGCAAUCCACAUUAGAUUUAAUAAACUCAAAAUUAUUUUGCCUCUCGGUUUUAUUAGAUAAUCGAGGUUAAAAUAUGGUAUAUUGUUCGCUAUGAAUUUUGGCGAACAACCUCUGAUUUUCCAAAACUUGUAGAAUUGGGUUACUUGCAGGAUCAACCACACAAAUCCUAGGACAUGUGCAAAUCUAAAUAACUUCGUAAAUCUCUAGAACGACUUUUGUAUCUUUUAUUUGACUCAUUAAGUCUUUUAUGUCGAAAGGUAUUGAUUACAAUUGUUUAAAUAAAUGUAAAUUUGACAAGAAUAAGAUGAAUGACAGAAAAUAACUAGCAAAGCAUAAAGUGUCGAAAAGGAAAUGCAGAAAGAUAAAUGACUGGUAAAUGUAAAGGAAAACUGGUAAAGAACUUUGAAUUCUAUAAGAUAAAACUUUGAAAGAAUUGGUGUUUGUUUACAUGUACAUGUUCCAAAUAAGACUCUUUUCUCUCACACGGGUACUUUGAGUGUUUGCAGGAAUUUGUACAAGUAAUUUUUCACACCCUUUUUCAGAUAACAACUAUCCUAUUUAUAUACAACAAAAAUAACUGUUACUAACGAAUAAAUCCUAAAACUAUGACACUUGGCUUUCUGCAUAACUUCCUUUCGCCAGGUGCUUCCACGUGUCUUCUGCAAAACGUCACAACUCUUUUGAAUUUGAAAUUUCACUUUACGUCGGAAAUGACGUCUCUCUCCACGCUUGUCGAAUUGUCGAAAUACUAUAACAUCAUCCAUGCCUGUCAAGACGUCUUUCCAUCUACAAAUAUCUUGUCGAAAUGUCGAACAACACUUAUCAACUAACUUGUUAAUCUCAUGACGUCAUUUGUCGAAAGAACCAUUCUGCAUACUAAUCUCAUGGCGUCAAAAACGCAUGUAUACAAAUUGCCCCCCAACAAAGAUGUUUCGACUGUUUUGGAGAAACAGUCAUUUGUUGUCAACCAGUGUUUUGAUGCCAUGUCAUUUAAUUUCAUUAUUUCCAAGUUUUUUGUAAUCUCAAGUUCCAAUACAGAUUCAUCAUUACACUUUCUCCAAGAUGUCACGUCUAGCCCACGUCCAGACUUUACCUCCAUCAUUUCCUAACAUCAUGGCCUUUUUUCAACUUCCACCUCUUCAACAUCACCAUAAAAAUCGGCCACGUGUCCCACUAUCAUCAUUACCAUUCUAAAGUGCUUUCAUCAUCUUCCUCCUAUAAAUACCCAUAAACCUUUUUUCUUUGAACUUUUUAACGCUUCAGAUUACUUUUCUUCAUACCCAUUUCUUAAGCUUUCAUAACUCCCCUGAGAAAUAUUCCUUUGUUCUUCCCAACAAUGGCUCCUCACAAACCUUCAAGCAGCAAACAUUCCAAGAAGAAACAAGAUCCAGCUCUCUCUCCUGUGCAUGAUUUGAAGGUACCAAUGACUAUUGGAAAUCAACAGUAUGUCUGGAACCUCCAAUAUGAGAACAGAAAAAGAAUGCAUCUAUAGAUCCCAGGUAUUAAUUCCUGUUCUUAUUUCUGGAAACUCGUAGCUAUUUAGGCCCCCUUCCAAAUCCUGAGAUUAAACAGAUCGUUUAAGAGAUUUUUCCAUGCUUAUUUCCAUACAAAACCCAUAGCGAUGGAGUGAAACCUCAACCUAAGGAGAAAAUUGUAGAACAAUAUUGACCCAUCGAGUUCGACGGAUGCUGGAGAGUUGAACUUAAACUAUUUGAAUUACAACAGGAUAUUUAGAACCUGUCCAUGGUCGAAAGACCCUUCUGACUACUUAUCUUGGUAGAUAAAAUCGAAAAGGUUAAGGGAUUUUUGGAAAAGAAUAGGCAUUUUCGACCUUAUCAGUUGUCGAGAGUAGGACCCAAUAUUGCCCAAAUGAUGCUUUUGGCUUCUCUCGUACUUCUGGAUAGUACCUACAAACACCUUUCACCUUCCUUGUGGGAUGUUACGGCCCACUCUUUUCGACGCAGCAGCCAUUGUUGCCUUCAUCCCAAUGGUAUAGAUUUCGACCCUACUAUCCUGAAUGAAGAUACCAUCGCUUUCGAGUACUAGCCUCGCCCCGUAUUAUUUAUUUACGUCUAUUAUCAUGACAAGAGCACCACGGAAGUCUGAGAUGUGAACCAUGAGCCUUUUUACUCUGUGGCUAUCCAAAUAUGUGUUCUGCUCUCGCUCCCUCCAAGUUGCCAAGAGAUUCAUCACCAUAGCCAAUCAGCUUCAUGCAGGCACAAAACUAUGUUUGAGCGAAAUGAUUCUGGCGAGCCUUUAUGAAUCUCUGAGUGAGAGCGUACAUCUUUUGAAAACCAUCAAAACCCAAGGUAAAAUCAACUUAUCAGGACCUUUCUGGCUCUUGCAAUUAUGGUUUAAUGCCGCCUUUGAAGCUUCUCUCCCUGUAGAGCCAGAGGUAGAUGAAGAAGAAGUGAAAAAUAGGACUGUCGAAUGGCCAAGGUUGGUGCACAUAACGCCAACUGAUGAAGGGAUUAGCCUUCGACAAGCUUUCAAAGGCUAUGUCAUGAUGUUUUCCAAGAGGUAUCAGUUUACUUCGACCAUGACACCUUUUGCUGAUAGAAAAAUUGGACCUAAAUGGUUUACCCAACAACUGCCUUUGGAAAUGUAGAAGGAUGAAAAUAUAUUUCUGAAUGUUUGGGAAUCAUUCUUAACCCCUAGGCUCCUUUUUUCUUAUCGUAAUGCCACUAAAACCCAAAUUACUUUGAUAGUUUAUCAACCCAACCUUGUUUCUAGACAGUUUGGCCUGAUCCAGAUAAAACCUCGACCUAUAUUCCCCAAGAAAGGAUCCAUCAUCUUCUACAACUCCCUUCAUACUGAAGGUGAGGGCAAAGAACUGUCGAAGAAACUGACUGAUGACUCUCUCGACAUCCGACCAGUGAUCUUUCGACCAUCAUUCCUAUGUACUCCUGAAUUUGAUGAAUGGUGGAAAGAUUAUUAUUCCAACAGAUUUUUUGACGUGGCUGCCUUUGCUACACAUUUAACAAAUGCUUUCGCUUUUGUGCAGGAUCGGACCAAAAAAGGUAUUCAAAUACACAUUAGGGAAAUACAAAAAUUUCAAAAAUAUUUCGAAACUGCGUAUAGACCUGAUGAUCUUAGUCGAACCAUACACGAAGCAGCAGCAGAGUUAAAACGUAAAUUGACGGAGAAGUUUGAAAAAUUGUCAUUGCCUUCAAAUAUUCGACCAGAGGCGCGAUAUGACCUGGCUUUCAGUUGUCAUCCACCAAAGUUUCCUCCUUUGCCAACUGUUGAAUUUGGCGUGGCUUUAGCCCUCCAUUUCCAGAUUGGUUCGUUUGUGGGGAUUUUAUGAAAAUUCUUCGUCAACAGUACAAAAAACCUGCUGAGCGUAUGGUUCCGACUAAGUAUCAUCUGGAUGAAUACCCAGGACACCUUCAUAUUGGAAUAGAACACGUUCGCGUGGAAGAUCCCAUUCUUGAAGGUGUUCACAGAAAACAUGAUUUUUCCUUUUGUUAUUCUAACUGUAUUAUCAUGUGUUUCUUAUAUCUGUUUCUGAAUCUUCUUUCUUUCCUUAGCCGUGAGGAUUCCUGCCAAGAAAACUUCUGUUGAAGCAUCACCAAGUGCUGCUAAGAAACAUUCGACAAAGGUACAACCCUUUUUUCUUCUCAUUUAUUUUUUCCCUUUUAAAACUAUCUGGCUUUGAUCUGCAUGACUAGGUAAGUCAAAAACCCCCAACAAUCCAGAAGAGAAAGAGUGAAGAGGAGAAAGAGGAGGAUAAAGUUCCUAAUGAAGAGUCUGGUGACGAAUCUCCAGAGCUAAUCCUUCCUCCUCAGAAAAAGAAGAAAAUCACGAAGGUCUCUUCUCAAAGGUCCAUUGUUAAAUCAACCAGGAAGGAUUCUGCAAGUACUCCCACUACUAAACUUCAGUCGAAGGACACGGAGAGCGGGAGAUCUAGCUUUAACACUGAGAUUCCUGAGGUAAGUCUUUAUUUCGACUGUAUAUAUUCACCUUCUUUGAGAGUGUGUUCUAUAUCUCAAAUGAGUAUUUUUACUCAAUUUUAGUGCUAUAUCUCAAGCACAUAUAUAAAUCAUUUUAUGUCAUUUUUCAAAAGAGUGUGUGCUAUCAUCAUAACUUUGAGAGCCUUUCAAAAAUGAAGUUUUUAGCUUUUAAAGUACACUUAAUCACAAUUAAAUUUUAGAUCUAAUCUUUUUAAACCUCUAAUAAGAUACUAUGAGUUGUUUGCUUCUUAAUUCUUAGAGAACAUGUGAUCUAUCAUGAGAAGUGUCUUUUAUCAUUGAUGUUUGUGAAGUACUUGAGUUGUAGGUCAAGAUUUGGGUGUUGCUUGGAAUUGAAAAUCCAGCAGAAGUAAAAAAGAAAGGAUUUCUUCUCCACCGAAGACUUUUGUAGAACUGAGUAAAGGUUGUUGCGAAAUGAGUUUGAGAGUUUCUAUUACUUCAGAUGAGCCAAUUGUUCAGACAAGAUACUAAUAAGAUUAAGUAAAGAUCACAACGGAGCAGAUGCUUAGAGCAGAUUUUGGAUAUGAGUAAGAGGACAAUCAAGAUUGAAUGAAGGUCAUGGCAUUUAAACUGUGUUGGAUGUGCACAACAAAAGAAGAAAAAAAUUCACAUUGAAACUGUUAAUUUUUGUUUUUAAGUUGAUUGUAUUGAUUAGCUAGGUUGUUCAUAGUUCUAUAUUUUAUUUUAUUGUCUAAAAAUUGAGUAACUCGUCGUACAAAUCCAACAUAUAUGCAAUAAAAUUUCCGCUGUCCAAUUUUAUAAAAAAUAUGAUUUUUGAGAAAAUCUUUCCGAAAUAAGUUUUAAAGAAAUGUCUAUUCAUCCCUCCUUUCUAGACUUUUCUCACCCAUAUUUUCCCCUAAAAUUUAUAGUAGAAGAUAUGGUGGAAAAUAUAUUUAGUUGAUUUGAGUUUAUAGAGAGAAGACAUGUAAUUUAAAAAAUAAAGAGAGUAGAUGAAAUGAAGAUGAGUCAAACCAUUAGAGACAGAGAAAGACCUACAAAAACAAUAAGAGAAAUUAUUAUGAAAGAUCUAGAGAUUAAUGAUUUGGAUAUAAAUAUAAUCAUAAAUAGAACAUUAUAAUAAAAGUUGAUUCACAUAACUGAUCAUACUUAAUAAGAUAAGUUUUGGAUUUGUUGUUGUUAUGGAUGCAAUCGUGUAGUGUGUCUAUCCUUUGUUUAAAUAACACAACUAUAUAGAUUUCAUAAAUAGAACAUUAUAAUAAAAGUUGAUUCACAUAACUGAUCAUACUUAAUAAGAUAAGUUUUGGAUUUGUUGUUGUUAUGGAUGCAAUCGUGUAGUGUGUUUAUCCUUUGUUUAAAUAACACAACUAUAUAGAUUUCAUAUUAAUGUAUUAAUGUUUUCAAAAUAUAAGUUUACAUGUAUGAAUGUAUAAUUUCAUAUAGAAAAGGAAAAUACAAGCAUGAUCGAGAUUGAAUCUAUACAUAAUUGGAGUUGUUAAUUAAGCAGUUGGAUAUGAAGAAUCCAUGGCAAUGCCGCACAAACCUUCCUUAGCAGCUAUACCUCUUUGCAUCCUAAUGUAUCCUUUCUCACCCCACACUGUUCCCCAUGAAUUCUUAACCAACCAAUAGUCAGUACCAUUUGCACUUCCAUAACCAACAGCAGUAACGCCAUGAUCUAACUCAGUUCCGCAUUCUCCUGUAUAAAUUCCAUGCGAAUAAAACAUGAAACUUGAAUCACUAGCAUCAAUAGAAACUGAUAUUGGUUGGUUAGCCACAGCUUUGAGAAGUGCAUCCUCACUGUUAACCGGAACUUUCUCGUAUCCUUUAAUCUUAGCAACAGGAACCGUUGUUGCAGUGUUACAACUUCCAUCAGUUGCUUUAUAAGGAUAGUUAGUCUCACUUGUGAUUCCACCAUUUUUAAUGAUAAAUUCAAAUCCAUCUUCCAUUAGUCCUCCUUCACAACCUUGGUCUUCACCUUUUGUGUCACAAUCUACUAGCUCUUGCUCUGAGAGAGAUACUAGUUUGCCUGUUGUUAUUUGGUUGAUACCUUCAGUUGCAGCAACAGUUGAAAAUGCCCAGCAACUCCCUUGAUUCAUUUUCAAAACAAAUAUUAAUUAUUNNNNNNNNNNNNNNNNNNNNNNNNNNNNNNNNNNNNNNNNNNNNNNNNNNNNNNNNNNNNNNNNNNNNNNNNNNNNNNNNNNNNNNNNNNNNNNNNNNNNNNNNNNNNNNNNNNNNNNNNNNNNNNNNNNNNNNNNNNNNNNNNNUACCAUUUGCAUCUUCCAUAACCAAGCCGUAACGCUGAUCUUAACUCUCUCGCAUUUCCUGUUAAAUUCCAUCGCAAUAAAACAGUGAAACUUGAAUCACUAAUCAAUAGAAACUGAUAUUGUUGGUUAGCCACAGCUUGAGAAGUGCAUCCUCACUUGUUACCGGAACUUUCUCGUAUCCUUUACAUCUUAGCAACGGAAACCGUUUGCAGUGUUACAACUUCCCAUGCCACUGCUUAAUAAGGGAUAUUAGUCUCACUUGUGAUUCCACCAAUUUUUUUAAGUGAUAAAAUUCAAAUCCAGUCUUCCAUUAGUCCUCCUUCAAACCUUGGUCUUCACCUUGGUGUCACAUCUACUAGCUUUGCUCUGGACGAGAUACUAGUUUGCCUGUUAUGUUAUUUGGUUGAACCUUCAGUUGCAGCACAGUUGAACAAUGCCCAGCAACUCCCUUGAUUACAUUUGCAAAAACAAAAUUAAUUAUUCGAAACAUAUAAUAUCAUAAUAAAGCAUGGUUAAAAUAUUGUUCAGUUCUUAUGGUUACUUACCACUUUGACCUUGCGUCUUGAUCUGGAGUUUAAAGCUCAUUUACCUCCAUCUACAGAUGCUGAGGAAUAAAGUAAACUUUCUACUAAUGAUGGUGAGGUUAACUCAUAUGUAGAAGACUCUUUUUGUAACCAUUACAGGAAGCUUUAACUUCGUAAGAGUCUAAUCAAGAUUAUUAACAACUUUUAUUAUUGUUGGCAUACUUAUUAUGAUUUCAUGAAUCAAGCACUGUCCUUAAUUCAUGAAACGUUUCUUCUCGACAUCAUCUUAUACACUUUCAUUUAUUCUUGUCGUCAUUCUUCGUUCUUCUUCUAAAUUAUUUUAUUGAUUGCAGCUUCACAUACAUUAUAUAGACAAAUGAACAGACACAAUGUUUCGUUAAACCUUUUUAUUCAAGGAAAGCUUAUAUGUUCUGGUAAAAAAAUAAUAUAUAUAAUAAAUAUGCGUAUAUAGAUAUAAAAAAACUAAAUAAUCUGAAUGCGACUAUUUCUACAGUUGAAACAUGAUUGAAUUGUAACUGAUUAUUGCACGAAUGCAAUUGGUUACCACACUAUAUCAAUGAAACAAAAGCGUUUAGUAACCGAUUAUUGCGGGGAUGUAAUCGAUUACAACAAUAGGUUUUUGUUUGUUACAUGUACCUCAUUCCAUGUAAAUGUACAUAUACCCUUUGGGUAUUUCAAUAAUAAAGUCUUCACCAUUUUCACCCUCAAUAUUUACUCUCUCUCAUUCUCCCACUCUCUUACUCUCCGCAUUGAAAAUCAUCAUUCAUCUUCACUCAAUCUUGAUCAUCCUCUUACGCAUAUCCAAAAUAUGCUCCAAACAUUUGUUUCACUGUGAUCUUUACUCAAUCCUAUCAGUACCUUGUCUGAACUCUUGGCUUAUCUGAAAUAGAAACUCCCAAAUUCGAAUUUUUUAUCUAAAUAUCGCACUUUUUCAAAAUAAAAUCCAAAAUAACCCCGUUUUCAAAAAAAUUCUCAAACUACCCCAGUUUCAAAAAAAAAUACGUAAGGCAUAGGCGCCAGAUCCAAUUUGCGCCUAACCUUAAACUUUAAGUGCGGCGCCAAUUGGAUUGGCUACAUCACAUGGUGUUGUCAAUUCAAUUGGCGUCCAUGUGUAAUUUUGAAUAGGAGGCGUCAAUUGGUCUGCCGUCUCAGUGUAAUGUGAAAUUUUUUGAUUAUAAAUAGAUGUGUUGUGUGAUUCAUUUUUCCACAUCUCAUUUCAUCAUAUUGCAAACAUGUUUGGUGUUCGUCGUCGCUAUGGAAAAAUGAUUUAUUCGAGAGACAAGUCUUCGAUGUUAAUGCUCUUCUAGAACAUUUGUAGUUUGGAUCAACUGGAGAGAGAGUUGGUUCAAUUGUUAGAUGGAAAAAUACCAGAAGGAGAAAAAAUUAGAAGUAUUGAGAGACUCGAUAAUAUAUUUGAUUAGGUGCGAGUAAAAACUAAUAAGGAUGGUAGGGAAAUGAUGUUUGGAUGAGAUGACAUCAGUUUGAUUGUUGUAAUCAGUUAGAAAUGUUCUGUUUUAAGUUUUCUUAUGUUGUGGUGAUGUUUAUCGUUAACCUUGUUGUAACAAAAAGAUAGUGAUAUAUAAAAAUGCAAGGUUAUAAAAAUUGAAAGGAGAUACUAAAUUAUGAUGAAGAUGUUGCUCCUAGAUUGGGACAUUUGUUCUUAUCGUGUCCUGGUUGACGAUAUAUACUACAUAAUCUAAUCAUUUUAUCAGUCGUAUCCAUUUUUGUUCUAAUACGCGUGCUAUUUGGCCGUCCUUUUUUCUUUCUUCGCAUCUCAUCGUUAUGCCAAAUUAUGUCACCUUCAUAUGGAGGACAGUAUUCCUCCAUUGGUAGCACUGAGAAGGUUUUGUUAUACACAUUCAUGAUGGUAAUGGCCUUGUAAACAUCAGAUAGAUGGUUGUAAGUGUCCUUGCGAGUAUGUGUGCAUGCUGCAAUGACAUGGGAGCAAGGAAUACGGAAGGCCUGGAACUUUCCAUAAUCGCACCAACUUUUGUUUAGUUUGACAGCAUAUGAUAAAUUUGGCAUUCCCUUAUUGUGGUCCAUUGUUUCCUGUACACUGAAAUUUUGCCUAUGACAAUCAAAGACUGUAACCGUGUGUGUGCUAGCUUUGAUGCUUUCCUCUUUCAUCACUUACAUACAACAUUCACUGAAUAUUUGACCAGACAUUAACAUUUCACUCCAUCUUUCACCUCUGGUUGCGAAGGUAGAAGCCAACCUAAAAUAGGUUGUUCUGACCAAAGCGGUUAUUGGUAGAUUUCUAAUGCCUUUGAAUACGUCGUUCAUGCAUUCCAUAAGGUUUGUUGUCAUGUGGCCCCAUCGAUAGCCUCUGUCAAAUGCCCUUGUCUGCUACUCUACUGGUAUGUUAUCUACCCAUCUUCUUGCAUCUGCAUUAGACAAUCUAAUUUCAUCACAGUAAUGUUGAAAUGAUGGCUGAGUUAGAGCAUAUCCUGCAUUCACCACUUUUUUACGAAGGUUCUUAUCUUUGAUUGCAUGAAUGAAGUUUUGUGCGAUAUGUCUAAUGCAAUAGACAUGGGUAGAAGGAGGACCAUAUCAUUCGUUAUCAUGGUUAUUGUAAGCACUCUCAAUGGCAUCAUAUCUAUUUGAAAUCAAAUAGUGAUUGGCUUGUGGAGCGACAUGUGUUCUGAGAUGUCAAAGGAAGAAACCCCAACCACCAGCGGUUUUACCUUCAACAAGAGAAAAGGCAAUGGGAAAGACAUUAUUAUUGUCGUCUUGUGCAACAGCCAUAAGCAAAGUACCCUUGUAUUUGUCGUAUAACCAUAUCCCAUCAACUUGAAUAAUAGGUUUUCAGAAUGCAAAACCUUUGAUGCACGAUUCAAACGUCCAAAAGAGGCGAUGAAAGAUUCUAUUUCCAGCAACAUAGGUUCCGUCUGCCGUAAAUGCUGGAAAUGUCUCCAUAAUUGUAACAGUUACUGGUACGUAUGUUUUUGGUGCCCAUAAAAACCGUGGCAAUUCUUUGUAUGAAUCCUCCUAGUUGCCGAAUACAUGUUCAACAACCUUUGUCCUCGUAAUCCACGCUUUCUUAUAAGAUAGAGUAUUAUUAUACUCACCUUCACUGAUGGGUCUUUGUUAACAAGUGGCAAAAUGUCUUGACAUAUCAAUGCAGCGCUAAAUUUACGGUGAUCUUGUUCAAUAUUAGUUGCAAUGCAACUGUGAGGUAGGGAUAUAUAAGCUAUCUCCCAAGAGUCUCUUCUCUUUUUGUGAGACGCAACCAACUGAAACUUGCAAAGGAUGUUACUACAUUUGAUGACAUACCUUCUCAAAUCAGUGCGUUUCACGGUGAAAUCAGUAGAGUUAUUCAUCUGAAAUUUUUUGAUAGCUUGCACACAUUCUUCUUUGGUGCGAAACAUGUCUCCCACUUUUAACUCAUCCUCUGAUCGUGGAUACGGGAUAUAAAAAACACAGUUGGAUGUUUCAUCGUCAUGUAGAUCCAUGUUUGUCAUAUGUUGAGGUGGAUUAUAUACAUGACUUGGAGGUAAUGGUGUUGGAUGAUCGUCAUCAUUAAUGUUGUUGUUCAACAUAUGAUCGACAUGUGUCUUAGUCUCUUCUUCUUCUUCUUCAACGAUGUUGACUUCUGCUUCUGCUUCUGGGUCGGCUUCAUCUGAUUUUUCUGAAUCAAACUCAUUAGAUUCAACUUGAUUAGUUAUCUGAGAUUGCUGAGAUGGCAUACUUGGUUGAAGAGUAAUAUAUAACUCAAUAUAUUUGCAACCAGAAUGUUCGUGUCUAACAAACAUAUAUUCAACAUCUUCAUCGUCCUGUACCUUUAGCGAGAAAAAUUUGCAUUGACUGUUCUCGAAAAAAAUUGGAUUUUGAUACGGGAUUUGUGACACAAGACCAAAUCCUAUGCAGGAUUCAAUUCAUUUUUUCAAAUGCAAGAAAUAUGAAUUUCUCUUAAUCGUUAGUUGGAUAGUAUCGGUGUUUCGAAAACAAAACCCAUAAUAGAUCACACUCAUAUGUCUCACCGUUGCAGUGAGCAAUGAUAGUAUAUUUUGGUACAGAUGACAUUGUAAUAUUUUUUGUGCAGAUGAAAAGUAAUAUUUGUUUGGUGCAGAUGAAUUUGUGUUGAUUGUUGGAUGUAGAUAGUAAGGCACUUAAAUAGACAAGUGAUGUGUCAAGCAUGCAAGCCCUAGCUCCAGCCCAAUUGGCGCUAGCAUGCAAGCAUUGUACAUGGGCACCAGUCCAACUGGCGCUAGCAUGUAUUCCUUGUAGACCUCAUAACUCAACAUGUAGAGCCAUGCAGGCGCCAGGCUAGGUGAAGACCAUGCAUUCAUGCAAGCCUAGGAGGUGCCAAUUUAAUUGGCGUUAGCAUGUUACAUUUGCAUGUGUAAGUCAAACCAUUUGGCGCUAGCAUGCAAACACUAUUAUCCAUGCAUUCAAACUUUUGUAUGCCUUUGCAUGUCCCUCAUUAUAAAUAGCCAUGCAAGUCUCACAUUUUUUCCUCACUAACAAUCACUUCUUCCUCUACAACAACAACUCUUUCAUCUGCAACAACCACUGUUUCAAAUAUUUACUCCAACAAGAUGUCUCUCCUUACUAUGGGUGAAUCGCACAAAGGCACAGUUGCAAACAUAGCAACUUAUGUAAGCAUUUAAUUCUUGUAUUAUUUUUCUAAAAUAAUUUUUAAUAACGAUACUUAACUUUUUGUUUAUCUUUUAUAAAGUAACGUAUUUUGUUGUUUCUUUUUUAGGAUGUUUCUAGGUUUCGAACUCGGGUCCACAAAUUUGUACACAUGGACCCGAUGAUUCAACUGUAUGUCAAACUCGCCGGUUUUUGACAUAUAAGCAAAAUAAUGUCUCGGUCGGUGGAUAAUAAAUUUAUUCUUGCAUUAUGUGAAAGAUGGCGUCCCGUGACACACACAUUCUGGUUUUCAACCGGUGAAUGUACCGUGACGUUAGAAGACGUCUACAUGUUAUUGGGACUGUCUAUCGAAGGUAAGGCGGUAAAUGACAAAAUCAACUAUGCAAAUUUAAUUUACAUGGACCUCUUGGAUGAUGAUUUGUUAAAUGAUAACUCGAGAGGUCAAGGUAUACUCCUUUCACGCCUUAAGGCAUAUUAUAACAGCUUACAAUUAGAUGAGAAUUCUAUCGAAGAGGCUCGAAAAGUAAAAACUAGGUGUUAUAUUAUGCUUUUAAUUGGUUUAUUUUUAUUUCCCGAAGGUAGUGGUUCUAGUAUGCAUGUUAUGUAUUUACCUUUACUAAGACAUGUAGAUAGAAUAGGAAGUUAGAGUUUGGGGUCCGCUUGUCUGGCUUAUCUUUAUAGCUCUUUGUGUAAAAAUGCACCAAAGACACAUCUAUAUUUUCUGGAUGUGUUGUUUUGCUCCAAGCAUGGGGUUAGUCCAGACUACCAUCCCUAGCGUCCUUCAACAACAACCCACUCACAUUCCCGUAUAUACAAAAGUAAGUUCUUAAAAUGGACUAUAUUUACUUACCUUACCGAUUAUUAUCUCUAAAUAAUAUUUUUUACUUUUAUGGCGAAGAUGGUCGGCAUGUGGUAUGAGUUAUAACAGAUGUCCUAGGCACUAUAUUACCCAGUAUCGCAAUCUCUUGGAUCACCUUCGACCAACAGAUGUAUGGCCAUUAACCUAAUUAUUUCCUAAUAAUUUGUUAAUUUCUUCUACCAAAUUUAUAAUCUAAUAUAUGUUCACAUUUCAGUUCAUUUGGCGUUCAUAUCUAAAUUUGGAUCAUGACCAUGAAAUCGACGAACAAGAGGCAGUUGUUUGGAUUGCAUGCACACCAAUCAUAAGAUUCACCACUGUGGAGAUGCACAAUAGUAAUUGUGUUAAAUUGUAGUUCGGUAUGCUUUAACACAUCCCAGGUCCCCUGGAAAACUUAAGAGAAUGGCAUCUAUGCAAAGUUAACGAACAAUGAAACUUUAACCCAUGGCAAAGCUUCGCUAGAUCUGAGUGUUUCAAAUGGAAGCACCACCAAGACCAUGUCUUAACUGACCAUGUGAUGCCAACUGAAGAAAAACCAAGUCGUAAUUAUAUGGCUUGGUACAUAUCGGUUGGAUUUGAGUUCAUCGCCAAGGAUAUGUACCUAUAUGACCCACGACAUGCAACUUACACACCAGAAGGGUCAAUAUCUAACCCCUAACAACAUUGUCAGACCGGUAACUCACAACCCCCUAUCCAUCAAAAUUCUCGAUCCACAAACACACAAACCUACAACCCUAACAUGCCAAACACCCAACCACAAUACCAAGAGCAUACCCCGUACCACCACCAACAACUAGAUCAUCAUUAAGACAUCCAACAUCGCUAUGCACCCAACGCAUUCCUAUCAUAGCCGCCUAAUCCAAAACACUCAACGAUCAUUUAACACCAAUCGUCCCUCCUCCUACCAUAGCCAAGAAGCUCAAACAUCUCAAAACCAAAACCUUCAACAACCAUAUCACUACCAAACACCGCUACAAUCAUUUCAACCUUUCCUCGAUGCAUCAUUCACACCAAUGUAUCCCUUAAAUCGUCCCGGUUUCCCUCCAACAACUCAAACACAACCCAACUACUCUGGAAUGGGUCAUGAGCUCAGCUAUGGUGGUACCCCUUUGAUGCAUACACCAAAUUAUGUUGAUUUGUCUAACUAUCUCAAGCAAUCUCCUGCAGUUGGUGAUGAUGUUCCUGUGCCCUCAGAUACUCAAACACCUGAGGUGAAUCAUCAACGUGGAUUAGGGCCACGAGUUCGGGUAGCUAGGGGAUGUGGGACCGGAGGUCAGUUAGGCGAUCCCGAUCAUCGACAUUAGUCUUUUUUGUGUAAACGGGAAUUUAUAUUAAUAUGAAUUGGUCCUAUUUUGACUUUAUCUAUUAUAUACAAUAUUUUUCAAAAAAAUUACGAAACACACACAGGUGCCAUACCAAUUGGCGCCUCCUUUAAAACUUAACACAUAGGCAUCAAUUGGAUUGAUAACACAAGGUGGACUAGCCAAUCCAAUUGGCGCCUCUUCUCUAAGUUUAAGAGCAGGCGCCAAUUAAUCUGGCGGCCUCCUCUUCAAAGUGGGGUAGUUUGAGAAUUUUUUUGAAAACUGGGUUAUUUUGGGGAUUUUUUUGAAAAACUGGGUUAUUUUGGUAAAAAUUUCCCCAAAUUCAUUCUGCAACAACCUUCACUCAAUUCUACCGAAGUGUUUAGUGGAGAAGAAAUGCUUUAUUUUUUGCUUAUGCUGGAUUUUCAAUUUCAAGCAACACUUAAAUCUUGACCUGCAACUCAAGAAUUUCAAAAACAUCAAUGAUAAAAGACACUUCUCUAUGAUAAAUCACAUUUUCUCUAAGAAUUAAGAAGCAAACAACUCAUAGUAUCUUACUAGAGGUUAAAGAUGAUUAUAUAUUAAAUCUAAUUGUGAUUAAGUGUACUUUAAAAGCUAAAAACUUUGUUUUUGAAAGACUCUCAAAGUUAUGAUGAUAUCACACACUCUUUUGAAAAAUGACACAAUGAUUUUUAUAUGUGUUUGAGAUAGAGCAUUAAAAGUGAGUAAAAAUACUCAUUUGAUUGUAGUCAAGUGCAGUGGAUAUAAUUCAAGUCGGAGGAGAAAAUGAUUUGAAUUAAGAACUUAAAACUCAAAGUUUCCCCUUUUUGAUUCGAAUAAGUGAUUCGAUUUAAAGAAUCAUGUGACUUGAAUCACUCUGACAGAACCAAAAUCUAGCAUUUGGAAUGAAUUUUUUAUUCGAAUAAACCUUUAGCAUAAUGUGAAUAAAUAUUUAUUAUGACUCAAAUCAGGGAAGCUUGUGAUUCAAAUCAACUGAUAAUGGUAAAACCUGAAUUUCACAAUCAUUUAUUAAUUUGGAUCAUGCAUAUCCUUGACUCGAAUCAAACUUCAUAAAGUUACUAUUUUAGGCAAAAUAAAAUAUUUGAUUUAAUAUAAGGUUAGUAUGAUAGUAAUCAUGAAUUCAUGUGUUUAUUGACUCAAAUAAUUAACUAGUUUGACAUGAACCACUUUGCAACAACUUUUAUCUUAUGGUUCGAUUUAAAAAACAUGACUUAAUGCAGAAUAUGCUUUAAAUGCAUUACACUAAAUUCAAAUAUAUGUGCAAAACCUAACUUGGAGAAUAAUCAAUAACAAAAAAUAAUGAACUAUAAGAUAGAAAAUGAGACAAGAAUCAAAACUGAAACCCUAUAGGAGCGGAGCAACUUCAAUAGGUGUUAUCCUAACCAUCUUUAAUAUUUUUCGUUUCUAACGUUAUCCUAUUUAGUAUUACCAAACUUCCAAUGAAACAUCCUCAUAUUUCCUAAACUUAUAUUGUUUCCAUGUUGAUUCUUAACCGCCCAACUUUCUGUUCUAUUCAACUUUGUUGGUUUUCACGUUGUUCAUUAAAAUUUCCCAUCUAGCUUGAGCGGUACCUUUGUGUCAAUAAAAUUCCUAAGUCCCUCAUAAAUUUCGUCCAUCCAAUUUAAAUUCAAUUUUUUACAUCCCCUUAUAUUUCUUCAUCUUAUUUCCACCUUAUGUAUGCACACUAGUCGAUAACCUUCAUACGUAUAUUGGAUAGCUCGAAAAUAAGAAAGCUUAAUCCAUUUCUUAUAUAGGGAUUUCCAUAAAAUCUCUAUAGGAACUUUAUGAUACUCCUUCUCCAAGUCAAUAAAAAUUAAGUUCAAGUCUUAUUGGUCCAUCCGAUAUUUCCCCAUCAUACAUCGUAGUAUAUAGAUUUCUUCCAUGGUCGAAAUCCUAGGCAUAAAACCAAAUUGAUUCUCAGUGACAUGAGUCUAUUUUCUUAGUCUCUGUGCAUUCACUAUUUAACAUAACUUCAUGGCAUGACUCAUAAGUUUAAUCCCCGUAUAGUUUUCCCAAUUUUGUAUAUCCCUUAUGUUCUUAUAGAUUGGAACUAAAAUGAUUCUUCUCCAUUCAUUCAAAAAUUUCUUUGACACCAAUGCAUCUAUAUCCAAUAAUUUCCACAUUUCAAUAGGUAUGUAGUCUGAACCAACCGCCUUAUUGUUACUCGUCCUUUUCAAUGCUUGUUUUAAAUCUUGUUUUUGAAUUUGACUGUAGUAAUUAUAGUUUUGAUCCUCUUCUCCAAUGUCGAGCCUAAUAGAUUUCAGUGAAAUAGCAUAUUCUUCAUUAAAUAAAUUAUAGUAAAACUUCUUUCACAUAUCCUUUAUAUUCUUUUCCUAAACCAAGACUUUGUCCUCUUCAUUCUUAAUACACCUCACUUGAUCAAAAUCCCUUAUCCUUUUUUCUCUCCCCUUAGCAGACAGAUAUAUAUUUCUCCCUCCUUGGUUCCUAAAGAUUAGUAUAAUCCGUCAAUAUCUUGGUUUUUGGCUUCAUUCACCGCCCUCUUGGUCUCAUUCUUAACUUUCUUAUACUUUUCCCAGGUUUCAACAUUUUUACACCUAGAUCAUUCUUAAAAGCAAUCCAUUUUUACUAUUGCCUAACUCUGAACACUUUCAUUCCACCACCAUGAUUCUUUACCAUUAGGUCUAAAACCUUUUUAUUCUUCUAACGUUUCUUUAGCUAUUUUUCUAAUAUCUUGGGCCAUAUUACUCCACAAAUUAUUUUCGCUUCCUUGUGGUUGUCCAAACCCUCCCUUCAAGAUCUUGUGUUAGAAAUUUCCUAAUAUAUUACCAUUCAAAUGUCACCACUUGACACGUGGUUCUCCAAUGCAAUAUUUUAGAAACCACUAAAUAUUGGGUCACUGGUUCAUUGACCGAACCAUUGGGUCACUAGUCGAAUCGCGUGAUUAAACUGGAUAAAACUGGAAAAUUCAGUUGAAUAAACAUGUCAUAACAAAACUAUAUAGGUAUUAAACCAGUCGAAGCGAAUGACUCGGUCUCUAAAAAAAUCACUAGCACCUAAAAAAUAUAAAAAUAUCAUAAUUUCACAAGUUCAUUCUUUAAAUUCAAAUUCUAAACAUAGUCAUCACUAACAAAAAAAUAGUACAAAAUACAAAUCAAAAUAAAAUUUGAACAAAGUCUAAUUGCAACAUAAUAUAAUUUCAUAUUUUAUAACAAAAAAGUUGUAAUAUAUAAUAAAUUUAGUUCUAAGGAGGGAAAAUUGUUUCAAUGUUGGGCUCUCCUUCUUCAUCAAAACCUUCCACGUCAAAAUCAACUGCAACGUCUUCCCCAUAAACGAUAUCAUACUACUCUACGAUCAUUUCUCCACACACGCCUUUACUUGGUUAACCAAUCUUGCAAUUCUCAUCGUGAACUCGCUAAUUGUUUCCUUUUCUUCCAUUUGAAUCAACUUCAGUUUCCUCUUGUGAGUUUGUAACCUCACCAUUUUUGCCUUGUAUGCUCCUGUAUAACUUUUCUCCAUGAUUUCUUAAACUUCCUUUGAGGAUGUGCAAUCAUCAAACUUCUUAAAUUUAUCUGCAUCAACACAUUGUUGAAUCAGAUAUAACGCCUUGUAAUCUUUUGUCCUCUCUUCCUUAUUCUUAUUCCUAUAUGCAACUGUUGUACCUUCUACAAGUGGAGUAACAUCGUUCUUGAUCGCUUCAAUAACAUCUUGAUAACCAAACAACACCUUCAUCUACUUGCAUCACUUAUCGUAAUUCUUUGCAUCGAGAAUUGGGAGAUCUGCAUGGGUUCAUUCAUUGGAAAUGGAAAUCAAUUUUGCACUCUGAGUGUUUGAUGGAUCGGGCCAGGUUUUUGAUGGCAAAUGUUAAAACAAGGAACCACAUGAAUGAUGAUUUUCAAUGCGAAGAGUAAGAGAGUGGGAGAAUGAGAGAGAGUAAAUAUUAAGGGUGAAAAUGGUGAAGACUUUAUUAUUGAAAUACCCAAGGGGUAUAUGUACAUUUACAUGGAAUGAGGUACAUGUAACAAACAAAAAACUAUUGUUGUAAUCGAUUACAUCCCCGCAAUAAUCGGUUACUAAACGCUUUUGUUUCAUUGAUAUAGUGUGGUAACCAAUUGCAUUCGUGCAAUAAUCAGUUACAAUUCAAUCAUGUUUCAACUGUACUGUAACGGUUACAAUCACGCAUUAACAAUAUUAUUCAAAUUUUUAUUGUAACAUUGUCUCUCAAGCACAUGUACUACAAAGUAUGUACGCACUCUUGUCGAGUAUAUCUAUCUUAUUUGUGGUAUUAUAUUUUGAGAAUUCUUAUCUACUCAUUACAACAAAAAAUUAUCUUGAAAUUGAAUAAUUAAUCUUUUUUAAUACAUUUAUUGACAAUUUAUUUACUAUUGACAUACUUUAUUAUGAUUUCNAUACUUUAUUUUGAUUCUUAUUUUAAUAUAUUUUGAUUAUAAAAAUAAAAUCGGUUUUUCUAUUCACUCGGUCAAAUAUUACAAGUAACCAUCAAAUGAAGUAAAGUACUACGCAUGCAUUAAGAGAUUAUGUUCAAAUCAGAGAAAACAGAAAUUAAUGUCAUGAAGCAUUAUCAUGCGAUUCAAAAAACUUUCGUGCAAGGGAAUUCAAUCACCAUGCAACAUUAGACUUCAGCAAAUCAUAAUUCCAAAUAUUGUUUGCCCAUAUAUAUUAUAUUUUUAUUUUGGGUAGGUUGUUCGCUAUUCUGUUUUCACAUGUAGUUUAAUGAGUUUUAACCAAAUUGAAAAUCCCCUUAGACAGAACAAAAGCUACCAUGUUCUUUAAAUAAUAAUAUAAAAUAACUAAAUAAAUAAAAGAAACAAUGAAAUAUGCCGUGGCAGCAAAUUCAGAUUAAUUUAAAGUUUUUUUUAUAUCUAUAUAAACCACCACUUCCAUUUUAUUUCAACUCAUAUCAAUUUACAUUUCUUUCUCCAACACAUAAACAUACACACCUCAACUCAACAAGGCUUUCUUUGAUAACAACAAAAUGGUUUCUAACAACCAAAAACAAUACAUGUGUGUUCUGUUCCUCAUCCUUGCUCUCAAUAUCACCAAUGUAAUGUCCCGAAAGCUGCAACAAUCAACAUCAUCACCAUCCUUAGAAGAAAGACACGAGCAAUGGAUGACAGAAUAUAGCAAAGUGUAUAAUGAUGAUGCUGAGAAAGACAAACGUUUCAUGAUAUUCAAGGACAAUGUUGAAUUCAUUGAAUCAUUCAAUGAUGCCAACAACAAACCUUACAAACUAAGUGUUAAUCACCUUGCUGAUUUGACUCUUGACGAAUUUAAAGCUUCCCGUAAUGGUUACAAAAAGAGGUCUUCUACUACUGAGUUAACUUCAACAUCAUUUAAGUAUGAAGAUGUGACUUCUAUUCCAGCAUCUGUAGAUUGGAGGGUAAAAGGAGCCGUCACUCCAAUCAAGGAUCAAGGACAAUGUGGUAAGUAACAUAAUCAGUAAACAGUAUUUUACGAAUGCUUUAUUAUGAUAUUAUUUGUUUCAAAUAAUUAAUAUUUGUUUUGAAAAUGAAUCAAG